This 35-nucleotide small RNA is filed under the name Bombyx mori (domestic silkworm). RNAcentral's name for it is "ovarian small RNA-13997". The record is from RNAcentral. Lineage: Eukaryota; Metazoa; Arthropoda; Insecta; Lepidoptera; Bombycidae.
CCUGAAACGCAAACCAUAUUGCGGGUUUUUCAGGC